Molecule: ribosomal RNA, 424 nt
Filed under: uncultured bacterium
Lineage: Bacteria
Also listed under: 1 other name
Description: bacterial SSU rRNA
Rfam family: Bacterial small subunit ribosomal RNA
Source: RNAcentral
UCGAGAAUCUUCGGCAAUGGGCGAAAGCCUGACCGAGCGACGCCGCGUGCGGGAUGAAGGCCUUCGGGUUGUAAACCGCUGUCGUAGUGGAGGAAAUGUAGGAGAGUUAUCUCUUCUACUUGACUAAUACUAGGAGGAAGGACCGGCUAAUCUCGUGCCAGCAGCCGCGGUAAUACGAGAGGUCCAAACGUUAUUCGGAUUUACUGGGCUUAAAGAGUUCGUAGGCGGCUAAGUAAGUGGGGUGUGAAAUCCCUCGGCUCAACCGAGGAACUGCGCUCCAAACUACUUAGCUAGAGGAAGAUAGAGGUAAGCGGAACAGAUGGUGGAGCGGUGAAAUGCGUUGAUAUCAUCUGGAACACCGGAGGCGAAGGCGGCUUACUGGGUCUUUUCUGACGCUGAGGAACGAAAGCUAGGGGAGCAAACG